Molecule: ribosomal RNA, 208 nt
Filed under: uncultured bacterium
Lineage: Bacteria
Description: partial 16S ribosomal RNA
Rfam family: Bacterial small subunit ribosomal RNA
Source: RNAcentral
UACGUAGGCGGUUAUUCAAGUCAGAGGUGAAAGCCCGGGGCUCAACCCCGGAACUGCCUUUGAAACUAGAUAGCUAGAAUCUUGGAGAGGUCAGUGGAAUUCCGAGUGUAGAGGUGAAAUUCGUAGAUAUUCGGAAGAACACCAGUGGCGAAGGCGACUGACUGGACAAGUAUUGACGCUGAGGUACGAAAGCGUGGGGAGCAAACAA